RNAcentral lists this long non-coding RNA (421 nucleotides) under Coffea arabica (coffee). RNAcentral's name for it is "long non-coding RNA (CARA_LNC003989)". Lineage: Eukaryota; Viridiplantae; Streptophyta; Magnoliopsida; Gentianales; Rubiaceae. The record is from RNAcentral.
UAACAAUUUAGCUUCAGGCUGAUGAUGGAGAUAGCCAGGCACUUACCUGACCAACUCCGCGAAUCACGGCAUUAUUCCUUCCUCUUUCCUGGCUGAUAAAACGUAUGGAAUGAUGGGGAGAACCAACGGCGUAAUUACUCAUUUCUGCCUGGAAAGAUGUCCAGUUUUGAUUAUGAAUAUGUUGCAUUCGAAAGCAGGUACCAGAUACUGUAACCCAGUAGUCCAGCGUAUUUGAUUUUCAAUAACAGAAUGUAACCAGAGUUCUUUUUUUUUCUUUUAGGAACAAGUCUUUUCUCAAUUAUGUAUAAAGAGACAAGAUAAAAAACAAUACUAAUUGAAAACCAGUAUUAAAAAAGAAAAAAAGUUGUAGAAACGCAGCUAUGGGAAGAUGUAUACAAUGGGAAAGAUAAAGAGGAAUUUG